CAACCUGAGAGUUUGAUCCUGGCUCAGAACGAACGCUGGCGGCAGGCUUAACACAUGCAAGUCGAACGCCCCGCAAGGGGAGUGG
This 85-nucleotide ribosomal RNA is filed under the name Microbacterium sp. Its description in RNAcentral is "partial 16S ribosomal RNA". It matches the Rfam family "Bacterial small subunit ribosomal RNA", at positions 1 to 98 of the family's 1533-position model. Lineage: Bacteria; Bacillati; Actinomycetota; Actinomycetes; Micrococcales; Microbacteriaceae. The record is from RNAcentral.